This 260-nucleotide ribosomal RNA is filed under the name uncultured bacterium. Its description in RNAcentral is "partial 16S ribosomal RNA". It matches the Rfam family "Bacterial small subunit ribosomal RNA", at positions 333 to 585 of the family's 1533-position model. The record is from RNAcentral.
UGCUCCCUACGGGGGGCAGCAGUAGGGAAUCUUCCACAAUGGGCGCAAGCCUGAUGGAGCAACGCCGCGUGGGUGAAGAAGGUCUUCGGAUCGUAAAACCCUGUUGUUAGAGAAGAAAGUGCGUGAGAGUAACUGUUCACGUUUCGACGGUAUCUAACCAGAAAGCCACGGCUAACUACGUGCCAGCAGCCGCGGUAAUACGUAGGUGGCAAGCGUUAUCCGGAUUUAUUGUGCGUAAAGGGAACGCAGCCGGUCUUUUA